AACGAACGCUGGCGGCAUGCCUAACACAUGCAAGUCGAACGAGAUCUUCGGGUCUAGUGGCGCACGGGUGCGUAACGCGUGGGAAUCUGCCCUUUGGUUCGGAAUAACAGUUGGAAACGACUGCUAAUACCGGAUGAUGACGAAAGUCCAAAGAUUUAUCGCCAGAGGAUGAGCCCGCGUAGGAUUAGCUAGUUGGUGUGGUAAUGGCGCACCAAGGCGAUGAUCCUUAGCUGGUCUGAGAGGAUGAUCAGCCACACUGGGACUGAGACACGGCCCAGACUCCUACGGGAGGCAGCAGUGGGGAAUAUUGGACAAUGGGCGAAAGCCUGAUCCAGCAAUGCCGCGUGAGUGAUGAAGGCCUUAGGGUUGUAAAGCUCUUUUACCCGGGAUGAUAAUGACAGUACCGGGAGAAUAAGCUCCGGCUAACUCCGUGCCAGCAGCCGCCGUAA
This 449-nucleotide ribosomal RNA is filed under the name uncultured bacterium. Its description in RNAcentral is "partial 16S ribosomal RNA". It matches the Rfam family "Bacterial small subunit ribosomal RNA", at positions 29 to 523 of the family's 1533-position model. The record is from RNAcentral.